RNAcentral lists this unclassified non-coding RNA (1027 nucleotides) under Leguminivora glycinivorella. RNAcentral describes it as "15-hydroxyprostaglandin dehydrogenase [NAD(+)]-like, transcript variant X1". The record is from RNAcentral. Lineage: Eukaryota; Metazoa; Arthropoda; Insecta; Lepidoptera; Tortricidae.
UUUAGUGAUAGGACGGCAGAGCAAUCAGCGCUAGCGCCACUUCGGCAGUGCCAUCUCGACAGCGACGGCGAGCGACUUUUUUUUCUUUUCGUAUUUGGAAUCUUUGAAGUUGUUUGUGAUAGUGAUAGGAUCAACAAAAACUCAAAGAACAAAAUGCAUAAUUUUAAAAACAAGGUAGUGUUGAUCACUGGCGGGGCCUCCGGCGUCGGUUCAGGAGUUGUAAGGCAACUGAUGGAUGAAGAAGUGAAGCAUGUAGCCAUCCUCGACAUAGCCAAAGAAGCAGGUGAAGUUUUCCAAGGCGAAUUGAACGCGAAGUACGGACCCGACAAAGUUACGUUCCAUUUCUGUGACGUCACUGAUGAAGAAGUAUUCCUGGGGAUCAUGGCCGAGGUCAAGAACAAGCAUGGCCACGUCGACUUGCUUAUCAACAAUGCUGCUAUCAUGAAUGACAGCUGGCAGACGUAUAAGAAGGAAAUAUCUCUCAAUGUGAUGGCCCUAGUAACCAAUUCUCUUAGAGCCCUAGAAAUGAUGCGCCUCGAUGAGGGGGGUAAUGGCGGCACAAUCAUCAACAUCUCGUCUGUGGUCGCUUUGUGCCAGCAGCCAACGCUGCCCGUCUACUGGGCUACCAAAAGCGCGGUCCUGCAAUUCAGCAACUGCCUUGGAAUGGAGGAGCAUUAUAGCAGGUCAGGCGUACGGGUCAUUACUGUAUGUCUAGGCGUUACCGAUACGGGGCUACUCAAGCCGCAGAAGACAGGCCGCUUUGACAAAUACUUCGACGCGCAAUAUGAGGAGUUAUUUCCCGUUAUGAAAUUACAGAAGCAAGUUCUAACUAUCUUUAAAUUAAGUUUUCAGAGCUUGAAUGCUUAUUCUUAAUUAUAGGAUAUAAGAAAGAAGGAAGUGAGUGCUGAAAUGACAAAAGAUAGAGAGGAAAGGAAGAGGAAGACGAGUUGUACCGACCCCACGUAACGUGAGAUAAGGAAUGGAAUCAGCAGCCAAAGGAAUUAUAGAAGCCUACAAACACGGAGUG